This 1242-nucleotide ribosomal RNA is filed under the name metagenome. Its description in RNAcentral is "bacterial LSU rRNA". It matches the Rfam family "Bacterial large subunit ribosomal RNA", at positions 1564 to 2815 of the family's 2925-position model. The record is from RNAcentral.
UGAAUACGAGAUGCUACGGCGUCGAAGCAGUGUAUGUCAGACUUCCAAGAAAAGCUCGCAAUGUCAUAAAUAAAGAAUGCCUGUACCAUAACCGACACAGGUGGGUAGGUAGAGUAUACUAAGGGGCGCGAGAUAACUCUCUCUAAGGAACUCGGCAAAAUAACUCCGUAACUUCGGGAGAAGGAGUGCCUUCUUUAAGAAGGUUGCAAUAACAAGAUCCAAGCAACUGUCUAUCAAAAACACAGGUCUCCGCUAAGUCGUAAGACGAUGUAUGGGGGCUGACGCCUGCCCAGUGCCAGAAGGUUAAAGAAGUUGGUUAGCUUUUGCGAAGCUGAUGACUGAAGCCCUGGUGAACGGCGGCCGUAACAAUAACGGUCCUAAGGUAGCGAAAUUCCUUGUCGGGUAAGUUCCGACCCGCACGAAAGGCGUAAUGAUUUGGAUACUGUCUCGGAGAGGGACUCGGUGAAAUAGACUUGUCUGUGAAGAUGCGGACUACCUGCACCAGGACAGAAAGACCCUAUGAAGCUUUACUGUAACUUGAAAUUGAAAUUGGACUUUAUUUGCGCAGUAUAGGUGGAAGGCGUUGAAAGUAAUCUUGCGGGAUUAGUGGAGCCAUCAGUGAGAUACCACUCCUAUAAUGUUAGAUUUCUAACUUUGGAUCAUGAUCUGGUCAAAGAACAGUUUCAGGCGGGCAGUUUGACUGGGACGGUCGCCUCCCAAAUGGUAACGGAGGCGUACAAAGGUUUCCUCUGAACGGGUAGAAAUCGUAUCUAGAGUGUAAAGGCAUAAGGAAGCUUGACUGUGAGACCUACAAGUCGAGCAGGGACGAAAGUCGGUCUUAGUGAUCUGACGGUGCUGAGUGGAAAGGCCGUCACUCAACGGAUAAAAGUUACUCUAGGAUAACAGGCUGAUCUCCCCCAAGAGUUCACAUCGACGGGGAGGUUUGGCACCUCGAUGUCGGCUCAUCGCAUCCUGGGGCGGUAGUACGUCCCAAGGGUUGGGCUGUUCGCCCAUGAAAGCGGUACGCGAGCUGGGUUCAGAACGUCGUGAGACAGUUCGGUCCAUAUCCGGUGUAGGCGUUAGAAUAUUGAGAGGAGCCUUCUUUAGUACGAGAGGACCGAGAAGGACAUACCUCUGGUGUACCAGUUAUCGUGCCAACGGUAAACGCUGGGUAGCUAUGUAUGGAGAGGAUAACCGCUGAAAGCAUCUAAGUGGGAAGCCCACCUCAAGAUGAGUAUUCUC